GCCUUCUUAGCAUAGCUGGCAGCAUAUCAGUCUCAUAACCUGAAGGUCCUGGGUUUGAGUCUCAGAGAGGGUA
RNAcentral lists this transfer RNA (73 nucleotides) under Alligator mississippiensis (American alligator). It matches the Rfam family "tRNA". From Rfam's summary of the family: Transfer RNA (tRNA) molecules are approximately 80 nucleotides in length. Their secondary structure includes four short double-helical elements and three loops (D, anti-codon, and T loops). The record is from Rfam by way of RNAcentral. Lineage: Eukaryota; Metazoa; Chordata; Crocodylia; Alligatoridae.